AGACAGUAGCUAAACAAGUAAAUGUUUUGAAAACAUUUGAUAAAGUCUGGUCUAAUUUAUUAAUUU
This 66-nucleotide transfer RNA is filed under the name Porcellio dilatatus petiti. RNAcentral describes it as "tRNA-Ser". The record is from RNAcentral. Lineage: Eukaryota; Metazoa; Arthropoda; Malacostraca; Isopoda; Porcellionidae.